This 75-nucleotide transfer RNA is filed under the name Flavobacteriales bacterium. RNAcentral describes it as "tRNA-Pro". It matches the Rfam family "tRNA". Rfam says of the family: Transfer RNA (tRNA) molecules are approximately 80 nucleotides in length. Lineage: Bacteria; Pseudomonadati; Bacteroidota; Flavobacteriia; Flavobacteriales. The record is from RNAcentral.
CGGGGUGUAGCUUAGUCCGGUUAAAGCGCGCGUCUGGGGGGCGCGAGAGCGGAGGUUCAAAUCCUCUCACCCCGA